GUACCUCUGGUGUACCAGUUGUUCUGCCAAGGGCAUGGCUGGGUAGCUAUGUACGGAAUGGAUAAGCGCUGAAAGCAUCUAAGCGCGAAGCCAACUUCAAGAUAAGAUUUCCCACCGCAAGGGUAAGACCCCAGAAAGACUAUCUGGUUGAUAGGUCGAAGGUGUAAGUGCAGCAAUGUAUUUAGCUUAUCGAUACUAAUAGGUCGAGGACUUGACCAAU
RNAcentral lists this ribosomal RNA (220 nucleotides) under Clostridioides difficile. RNAcentral describes it as "partial 23S ribosomal RNA". It matches the Rfam family "Bacterial large subunit ribosomal RNA", at positions 2703 to 2925 of the family's 2925-position model. The record is from RNAcentral. Lineage: Bacteria; Bacillati; Bacillota; Clostridia; Peptostreptococcales; Peptostreptococcaceae.